Molecule: ribosomal RNA, 253 nt
Filed under: uncultured bacterium
Lineage: Bacteria
Description: partial 16S ribosomal RNA
Rfam family: Bacterial small subunit ribosomal RNA
Source: RNAcentral
UACGGGGGGGGCAAGCGUUGUUCGGAAUUACUGGGCGUAAAGGGCGCGUAGGCGGCCUGCUAAGUCGGAUGUGAAAUCCCUCGGCUCAACCGAGGGACUGCAUCCGAUACUGGCGGGCUUGAAUCCGGGAGAGGGAUGUGGAAUUCCAGGUGUAGCGGUGAAAUGCGUAGAUAUCUGGAGGAACACCGGUGGCGAAGGCGGCAUCCUGGACCGGUAUUGACGCUGAGGCGCGAAAGCUAGGGGAGCAAACGGG